AUUUAUUGUGUCUGUAGAAAAAGGAACGAUGGCAGGCUAUAUUGGCACUGUGAUUCAUGCAAUGAGUGGUACCAUCCUGUUUGCAUGGGUUUUGAUGAAAAGGAAGAACCACAUGUAUACAUUUGCCCUUCAUGUCAGGUGAAAAUUAAAAGAAAGGCAUGCCCUACACUUGAGGAAGUUGAAGAAAAGCUGCGAAAAGACAUUGAAGUAGAAAGCUCAGAUCCUAUGGACGAAACUUUGGCAGGAGGUUUGCAGGACCAUUCUGAAACAACCCCAGUCUUUUUGAACCAUCCACAUGUGAGGUUUUUCAUUGAGAUUAAAAAAAGAAAAGGACAAGAAAUUUUAAUUCAGG
Long non-coding RNA from Mya arenaria, 352 nucleotides. RefSeq lists it as uncharacterized. Lineage: Eukaryota; Metazoa; Mollusca; Bivalvia; Myida; Myidae. The transcript is spliced from 3 exons. The record is from RefSeq and is a predicted model, not a curated record.